This 111-nucleotide transfer RNA is filed under the name Penicillium egyptiacum. RNAcentral describes it as "tRNA-Ser". It matches the Rfam family "tRNA". Rfam says of the family: Transfer RNA (tRNA) molecules are approximately 80 nucleotides in length. The record is from RNAcentral. Lineage: Eukaryota; Fungi; Ascomycota; Eurotiomycetes; Eurotiales; Aspergillaceae.
UGGCGGUUUGGCCGAGUGGUCUAAGGCGAUUGACUCGAACGCUAUGGAAUCAAUUCCGUUCGUGAAAUCAAUUCUGUUCGCAGGCGUAGGUUCGAAUCCUACAGCCGUCGU